UAUAGCUUAAAUAUAACAAAGUGUUACUUUGAAGCAGUAAUGAUGGGUAUUAACUUAGUUAUAA
This 64-nucleotide transfer RNA is filed under the name Haematopinus suis. RNAcentral's name for it is "tRNA-Phe". Lineage: Eukaryota; Metazoa; Arthropoda; Insecta; Psocodea; Haematopinidae. The record is from RNAcentral.